GGCGGCAGGCCUACACAUGCAAGUCGAGCGGAUGAAAGGAGCUUGCUCCUGGAUUCAGCGGCGGACGGGUGAGUAAUGCCUAGGAAUCUGCCUGGUAGUGGGGGACAACGUUUCGAAAGGAACGCUAAUACCGCAUACGUCCUACGGGAGAAAGCAGGGGACCUUCGGGCCUUGCGCUAUCAGAUGAGCCUAGGUCGGAUUAGCUAGUUGGUGAGGUAAUGGCUCACCAAGGCGACGAUCCGUAACUGGUCUGAGAGGAUGAUCAGUCACACUGGAACUGAGACACGGUCCAGACUCCUACGGGAGGCAGCAGUGGGGAAUAUUGGACAAUGGGCGAAAGCCUGAUCCAGCCAUGCCGCGUGUGUGAAGAAGGUCUUCGGAUUGUAAAGCACUUUAAGUUGGGAGGAAGGGUUGUAGAUUAAUACUCUGCAAUUUUGACGUUACCGACAGAAUAAGCACCGGCUAACUCUGUGCCAGCAGCCGCGGUAAUACAGAGGGUGCAAGCGUUAAUCGGAAUUACUGGGCGUAAAGCGCGCGUAGGUGGUUCGUUAAGUUGGAUGUGAAAUCCCCGGGCUCAACCUGGGAACUGCAUUCAAAACUGUCGAGCUAGAGUAUGGUAGAGGGUGGUGGAAUUUCCUGUGUAGCGGUGAAAUGCGUAGAUAUAGGAAGGAACACCAGUGGCGAAGGCGACCACCUGGACUGAUACUGACACUGAGGUGCGCAAGCGUGGGGAGCAAACAGGAUUAGAUACCCUGGUAUUCCACGCCGUAUACUAUGUCAA
Molecule: ribosomal RNA, 781 nt
Filed under: Pseudomonas granadensis
Lineage: Bacteria; Pseudomonadati; Pseudomonadota; Gammaproteobacteria; Pseudomonadales; Pseudomonadaceae
Description: bacterial SSU rRNA
Rfam family: Bacterial small subunit ribosomal RNA
Source: RNAcentral